CAGGUGAAUCAGCUCCCGGCCGACUUUAGGAUUCUUCUGGAUUUUAAAUUUUUUCUUUUUAAAAAAACUUGGACGGAUAAAAGAUGUGCCAUGGCAGGAUAGCACCAAAGAGCACCUCAGUGUUUGCCGUGGCCUCCUUGGGACAUGGAGUGUUCCUUCCGCUGGUGAUCCUUUGCACCCUGCUUGGAGACGGACUUGCUUCUGUGUGCCCCCUACCACCGGAGCCAGAGAAUGGUGGCUACAUCUGCCACCCCCGGCCCUGCAGAGACCCUCUGACAGCGGGCAGUGUCAUCGAAUACCUGUGUGCUGAAGGCUACAUGUUGAAGGGCGAUUACAAAUACCUGACGUGUAAGAAUGGCGAGUGGAAACCAGCCAUGGAGAUUAGCUGCCAUCUCAACGAGGGUCAGUCUGGCAGAUGAAAAAGGGAUGCUGCUGGGGUUCUGCUUUCUGUUAACUCACAGGAUGCAAUGCAUGCUUCCUCCAGAGCACUCUUUGCUGUGGUGCAGCCCAGCCCCGGUUGAUGCUCUGCAGCCUCCCUUCCUUGGGUCUUCAUGUCUUUGUGGAAGAUACUUGAGGUUGCUGGUGCAUGUCCUAUUGCAUUUCAUUGA
This 608-nucleotide small RNA is filed under the name Pongo abelii (Sumatran orangutan). RNAcentral describes it as "retained intron". The record is from RNAcentral. Lineage: Eukaryota; Metazoa; Chordata; Mammalia; Primates; Hominidae.